RNAcentral lists this transfer RNA (74 nucleotides) under Danio rerio (zebrafish). RNAcentral's name for it is "tRNA-Asn (ATT) (tRNA-Asn-ATT-4-1)". It matches the Rfam family "tRNA". From Rfam's summary of the family: Transfer RNA (tRNA) molecules are approximately 80 nucleotides in length. The record is from Rfam by way of RNAcentral. Lineage: Eukaryota; Metazoa; Chordata; Actinopteri; Cypriniformes; Danionidae.
GUCUCUGUGGCGCAAUCGGUUAGUGCAUUCGGCUAUUAACUGAAAGGUUGGUGGUUCAAGCCCACCCAAGGACA